Long non-coding RNA from Haliotis rufescens (red abalone), 6205 nucleotides. RefSeq lists it as uncharacterized. The transcript is spliced from 10 exons. The record is from RefSeq and is a predicted model, not a curated record. Lineage: Eukaryota; Metazoa; Mollusca; Gastropoda; Lepetellida; Haliotidae.
UAGGUCAUGCAGCAAAACAGUUUGUAGACAAGCACGUCUUACCGGAGGUUCCUCAACAGCCAGGUCAUGGUCUCCAAAUCAAACACACUAGCCUGCAGGUACUGUGGAAAACUGUACCAGAGACCAAAAGCUCUCCGCAAACACGAAGCAUCCGGAAUAUAAUGCUGAAAACAAUCAGGAUUCCACAUCUUCAGCAGAAUCAAGAUCAUCUAUUUAUCAGUACACCCGUCUGUCUCUCAUGCUUGGGCUUCUUCGAAUAAAUCACAACGAUUCCAUUCACAUGGGAGAUGGUGGCAGGCAUGAUGAGACUAGUAAAGUGGUUCUGUUUAUACUACAAGGCAAGCAAAUGUCCAAAGUAUGCAUAUGGUCUCCUUUGAAACACAGGCAAAGGCAUAUGCUCUCCUAUAUGAACGGCAGGCUUUAUAGAUUGAUAUGGAACCGCACAGUCAACCAUCAAGGCAGAGAAGACACCAAUCAUCCCAUCGACCUUGACUUGGAGCAUUGCAACAGGGCUUUCAAAGAUGAUGUACACACAUACAAGGGGAGGUACACAGAUAAAAGACGAUUCUCAAAGUCAGCAGAAGUGCGCUGUCAAUGGAAGAAUUAUGCCAAAAAUACGACAAAUUGGCAUUCCGCAAGAAAUGUUCGGGAAGGCAUGGAGUUGUUGAUCCUUCUUGGUGAUAUUCUUAAACUUGUAGAACAAUUCCAUUCCUAUGCAGCUCUAUUCAAUGAGGCCAACAAGCCACUGCCACAGAGAAAUCAAAAACAUGCUGAGUGACAUCCAAAAUUGGAUUUCAGAAAGUCUUAAAGUCUUCAGUAGCCGCACAUACUAUAACAUCUGAACCUUUUUUCCCGAUGUGUAAUUCAGUGUCACAUGAUUAAAACGAGACCCUGUUGCAAAGUCGCUAUCACUGUAUGUUUCAUGAUCUUCAUGUUCUGAGUCUGAGUGAGAUGAUGAGCUAUCACUCGAGUCAAGGGAAGUUUUGUACAACUCAAGAAUAUCACAUCUACAUUCACUACAUGGGGUAAUUGCAUGUCCAUGAGUCUCUGCAGUCACAGAGACACUUGCAAGAUAUGGCACAGUUGUCCAUAGCACUCAUGACUUCAGUAAAGCUCAACUCGUCGACAUACGUUGGUUCUGACAUACUGUUUCAUUUCAUCCGAAAUAUUCCGCCUGCCACUGAGACAUCGUCUAAAUUUCAUGAGAAGAGCAUGUGCCUGCUUUUCUGGAUCCCUGCCUGCUCCGUCCUUGUCUCUUGAAUAUAAUCCUCAACAUUAUUGGCUGGACCAUAGUGGAUGACGGUUUCCACACUUUCUUAGCAUUGUGUAUACACAACGUAAUUAACGGAUUCUGACAUCAGCCACAUAUCUCGGACCACCCCACGAGUCUCUCUUAACCGUUCAAUUAACGUUCCGCUUGGUGUUGCCACACCUGUCCGCCAUCUGCUGUUGAGAUACUGUAACGGUUCUCGUCUGAAAAGAGGACUUCUCCCACUGCUGGUGCUGUGCUACCCACUGAAGACGGUCCAGGAAACAAAGAAGAAGACUGAAAGGAUACCACUGGGAGUGCUUCAGUGAGGACCUCAGUGACCGUUCUCCAUCACAGUAGGUGCUCAGCGGAGGGGACUACCUCACCCUUGAGAGGCAGAAACAAGCCAAUCAUGCACUUACGAGAUGGACCUACACCAAGUUCCAGAUUACAAGGACUUGUUCCAAAGAUGGAAGAGUUCCAUAACGAAGCUGAAUUUCUAAAGGUUAUAUGGAAACACUUGUACUCGUCCUCCUCUAACAAGUCUGUUUGGCACUCUGCAUGCUGCAAAGGAGCACAAUAAAUGCGGUGAAUGUUACUCAGGAUCCUCAUGACAACUUUUACCCAUGCUCUGAAUUCAUGGACAAGGUCACCACCGCCUACAUCGUAACUCGGGGACUACAUUACUUCCAAAUGGAACACCUCACUUCUGUCCCAACGUCAAGUUACAUGGGUGCUGUUGGCAAUCCAUAUAAAAUGAUUGAUUAUUUUCUAGGUCAUGCAGCAAAACAGUUUGUAGACAAGCACGUCUUACCGGAGGUUCCUCAACAGCCAGGUCAUGGUCUCCAAAUCAAACACACUAGCCUGCAGGUACUGUGGAAAACUGUACCAGAGACCAAAAGCUCUCCGCAAACACGAAGCAUCCGGAAUAUAAUGCUGAAAACAAUCAGGAUUCCACAUCUUCAGCAGAAUCAAGAUCAUCUAUUUAUCAGUACACCCGUCUGUCUCUCAUGCUUGGGCUUCUUCGAAUAAAUCACAACGAUUCCAUUCACAUGGGAGAUGGUGGCAGGCAUGAUGAGACUAGUAAAGUGGUUCUGUUUAUACUACAAGGCAAGCAAAUGUCCAAAGUAUGCAUAUGGUCUCCUUUGAAACACAGGCAAAGGCAUAUGCUCUCCUAUAUGAACGGCAGGCUUUAUAGAUUGAUAUGGAACCGCACAGUCAACCAUCAAGGCAGAGAAGACACCAAUCAUCCCAUCGACCUUGACUUGGAGCAUUGCAACAGGGCUUUCAAAGAUGAUGUACACACAUACAAGGGGAGGUACACAGAUAAAAGACGAUUCUCAAAGUCAGCAGAAGUGCGCUGUCAAUGGAAGAAUUAUGCCAAAAAUACGACAAAUUGGCAUUCCGCAAGAAAUGUUCGGGAAGGCAUGGAGUUGUUGAUCCUUCUUGGUGAUAUUCUUAAACUUGUAGAACAAUUCCAUUCCUAUGCAGCUCAAUUCAAUGAGGCCAACAAGCCACUGCCACAGAGAAAUCAAAAACAUGCUGAGUGACAUCCAAAAUUGGAUUUCAGAAAGUCUUAAAGUCUUCAGUAGCCGCACAUACUAUAACAUCUGAACCUUUUUUCCCGAUGUGUAAUUCAGUGUCACAUGAUUAAAACGAGACCCUGUUGCAAAGUCGCUAUCACUGUAUGUUUCAUGAUCUUCAUGUUCUGAGUCUGAGUGAGAUGAUGAGCUAUCACUCGAGUCAAGGGAAGUUUUGUACAACUCAAGAAUAUCACAUCUACAUUCACUACAUGGGGUAAUUGCAUGUCCAUGAGUCUCUGCAGUCACAGAGACACUUGCAAGAUAUGGCACAGUUGUCCAUAGCACUCAUGACUUCAGUAAAGCUCAACUCGUCGACAUACGUUGGUUCUGACAUACUGUUUCAUUUCAUCCGAAAUAUUCCGCCUGCCACUGAGACAUCGUCUAAAUUUCAUGAGAAGAGCAUGUGCCUGCUUUUCUGGAUCCCUGCCUGCUCCGUCCUUGUCUCUUGAAUAUAAUCCUCAACAUUAUUGGCUGGACCAUAGUGGAUGACGGUUUCCACACUUUCUUAGCAUUGUGUAUACACAACGUAAUUAACGGAUUCUGACAUCAGCCACAUAUCUCGGACCACCCCACGAGUCUCUCUUAACCGUUCAAUUAACGUUCCGCUUGGUGUUGCCACACCUGUCCGCCAUCUGCUGUUGAGAUACUGUAACGGUUCUCGUCUGAAAAGAGGACUUCCCCCACUGCUGGUGCUGUGCUACCCACUGAAGACGGUCCAGGAAACAAAGAAGAAGACUGAAAGGAUACCACUGGGAGUGCUUCAGUGAGGACCUCAGUGACCGUUCUCCAUCACAGUAGGUGCUCAGCGGAGGGGACUACCUCACCCUUGAGAGGCAGAAACAAGCCAAUCAUGCACUUACGAGAUGGACCUACACCAAGUUCCAGAUUACAAGGACUUGUUCCAAAGAUGGAAGAGUUCCAUAACGAAGCUGAAUUUCUAAAGGUUAUAUGGAAACACUUGUACUCGUCCUCCUCUAACAAGUCUGUUUGGCACUCUGCAUGCUGCAAAGGAGCACAAUAAAUGCGGUGAAUGUUACUCAGGAUCCUCAUGACAACUUUUACCCAUGCUCUGAAUUCAUGGACAAGGUCACCACCGCCUACAUCGUAACUGGGGGACUACAUUACUUCCAAAUGGAACACCUCACUUCUGUCCCAACGUCAAGUUACAUGGGUGCUGUUGGCAAUCCAUAUAAAAUGAUUGAUUAUUUUCUAGGUCAUGCAGCAAAACAGUUUGUAGACAAGCACGUCUUACCGGAGGUUCCUCAACAGCCAGGUCAUGGUCUCCAAAUCAAACACACUAGCCUGCAGGUACUGUGGAAAACUGUACCAGAGACCAAAAGCUCUCCGCAAACACGAAGCAUCCGGAAUAUAAUGCUGAAAACAAUCAGGAUUCCACAUCUUCAGCAGAAUCAAGAUCAUCUAUUUAUCAGUACACCCGUCUGUCUCUCAUGCUUGGGCUUCUUCGAAUAAAUCACAACGAUUCCAUUCACAUGGGAGAUGGUGGCAGGCAUGAUGAGACUAGUAAAGUGGUUCUGUUUAUACUACAAGGCAAGCAAAUGUCCAAAGUAUGCAUAUGGUCUCCUUUGAAACACAGGCAAAGGCAUAUGCUCUCCUAUAUGAACGGCAGGCUUUAUAGAUUGAUAUGGAACCGCACAGUCAACCAUCAAGGCAGAGAAGACACCAAUCAUCCCAUCGACCUUGACUUGGAGCAUUGCAACAGGGCUUUCAAAGAUGAUGUACACACAUACAAGGGGAGGUACACAGAUAAAAGACGAUUCUCAAAGUCAGCAGAAGUGCGCUGUCAAUGGAAGAAUUAUGCCAAAAAUACGACAAAUUGGCAUUCCGCAAGAAAUGUUCGGGAAGGCAUGGAGUUGUUGAUCCUUCUUGGUGAUAUUCUUAAACUUGUAGAACAAUUCCAUUCCUAUGCAGCUCUAUUCAAUGAGGCCAACAAGCCACUGCCACAGAGAAAUCAAAAACAUGCUGAGUGACAUCCAAAAUUGGAUUUCAGAAAGUCUUAAAGUCUUCAGUAGCCGCACAUACUAUAACAUCUGAACCUUUUUUCCCGAUGUGUAAUUCAGUGUCACAUGAUUAAAACGAGACCCUGUUGCAAAGUCGCUAUCACUGUAUGUUUCAUGAUCUUCAUGUUCUGAGUCUGAGUGAGAUGAUGAGCUAUCACUCGAGUCAAGGGAAGUUUUGUACAACUCAAGAAUAUCACAUCUACAUUCACUACAUGGGGUAAUUGCAUGUCCAUGAGUCUCUGCAGUCACAGAGACACUUGCAAGAUAUGGCACAGUUGUCCAUAGCACUCAUGACUUCAGUAAAGCUCAACUCGUCGACAUACGUUGGUUCUGACAUACUGUUUCAUUUCAUCCGAAAUAUUCCGCCUGCCACUGAGACAUCGUCUAAAUUUCAUGAGAAGAGCAUGUGCCUGCUUUUCUGGAUCCCUGCCUGCUCCGUCCUUGUCUCUUGAAUAUAAUCCUCAACAUUAUUGGCUGGACCAUAGUGGAUGACGGUUUCCACACUUUCUUAGCAUUGUGUAUACACAACGUAAUUAACGGAUUCUGACAUCAGCCACAUAUCUCGGACCACCCCACGAGUCUCUCUUAACCGUUCAAUUAACGUUCCGCUUGGUGUUGCCACACCUGUCCGCCAUCUGCUGUUGAGAUACUGUAACGGUUCUCGUCUGAAAAGAGGACUUCUCCCACUGCUGGUGCUGUGCUACCCACUGAAGACGGUCCAGGAAACAAAGAAGAAGACUGAAAGGAUACCACUGGGAGUGCUUCAGUGAGGACCUCAGUGACCGUUCUCCAUCACAGUAGGUGCUCAGCGGAGGGGACUACCUCACCCUUGAGAGGCAGAAACAAGCCAAUCAUGCACUUACGAGAUGGACCUACACCAAGUUCCAGAUUACAAGGACUUGUUCCAAAGAUGGAAGAGUUCCAUAACGAAGCUGAAUUUCUAAAGGUUAUAUGGAAACACUUGUACUCGUCCUCCUCUAACAAGUCUGUUUGGCACUCUGCAUGCUGCAAAGGAGCACAAUAAAUGCGGUGAAUGUUACUCAGGAUCCUCAUGACAACUUUUACCCAUGCUCUGAAUUCAUGGACAAGGUCACCACCGCCUACAUCGUAACUCGGGGACUACAUUACUUCCAAAUGGAACACCUCACUUCUGUCCCAACGUCAAGUUACAUGGGUGCUGUUGGCAAUCCAUAUAAAAUGAUUGAUUAUUUUCUAGGUCAUGCAGCAAAACAGUUUGUAGACAAGCACGUCUUACCGGAGGUUCCUCAACAGCCAGGUCAUGGUCUCCAAAUCAAACACACUAGCCUGCAGGUACUGUGGAAAACUGUACCAGAGACCAAAAGCUCUCCGCAAAC